Molecule: ribosomal RNA, 603 nt
Filed under: uncultured fungus
Lineage: Eukaryota; Fungi
Description: eukaryotic LSU rRNA
Rfam family: Eukaryotic large subunit ribosomal RNA
Source: RNAcentral
ACCCGCUGAACUUAAGCAUAUCAAUAAGCGGAGGAAAAGAAACCAACAGGGAUUGCCCUAGUAACGGCGAGUGAAGCGGCAACAGCUCAAAUUUGAAAUCUGGCGUCUUUGGCGUCCGAGUUGUAAUUUGCAGAGGGCGCUUUGGCAUUGGCAGCGGUCCAAGUUCCUUGGAACAGGACGUCACAGAGGGUGAGAAUCCCGUACGUGGUCGCUAGCCUUUACCGUGUAAAGCCCCUUCGACGAGUCGAGUUGUUUGGGAAUGCAGCUCUAAAUGGGAGGUAAAUUUCUUCUAAAGCUAAAUACUGGCCAGAGACCGAUAGCGCACAAGUAGAGUGAUCGAAAGAUGAAAAGCACUUUGGAAAGAGAGUUAAAAAGCACGUGAAAUUGUUGAAAGGGAAGCGCUUGCAGCCAGACUUGCCUGUAGUUGCUCAUCCGGGUUUUUACCCGGUGCACUCUUCUAUAGGCAGGCCAGCAUCAGUUUGGGCGGUUGGAUAAAGGUCUCUGUCAUGUACCUCUCUUCGGGGAGAACUUAUAGGGGAGACGACAUGCAACCAGCCCGGACUGAGGUCCGCGCAUCUGUUAGGAUGCUGGCGUAAUGGCUGU